Molecule: small nuclear RNA, 164 nt
Filed under: Phascolarctos cinereus (koala)
Lineage: Eukaryota; Metazoa; Chordata; Mammalia; Diprotodontia; Phascolarctidae
Description: U1 spliceosomal RNA (ENSPCIG00000036577.1)
Rfam family: U1 spliceosomal RNA
About the family: U1 is a small nuclear RNA (snRNA) component of the spliceosome (involved in pre-mRNA splicing). Its 5' end forms complementary base pairs with the 5' splice junction, thus defining the 5' donor site of an intron.
Source: Rfam by way of RNAcentral
AUAGUUACCUGGCAGGGGUGAUUCCAUGAUCACGAAGGUGGUUUCCCCAGGGCGAGGCUUAUCCAUUGCACUCCGGAUGGGCUGACCGCUGCGAUUUCCCCAAAUGCGGGAAACUUGACUGCAUAAUUUGUGGUAGUAGGGGACUGUGUUCACCCUCUUCCCUA